GCAAGGGGAGCGGCAGACGGGAGAGUAACACGUGGGAACGUACCCUUCAGUUCGGAACAACCCAGGGAAACUUGGGCUAAUACCGAAUACGUCCGUAAGGAGAAAGAUUUAUCGCUGAAGGAUCGGCCCGCGUCUGAUUAGCUAGUUGGUGAGGUAACGGCUCACCAAGGCGACGAUCAGUAGCUGGUCUGAGAGGAUGAUCAGCCUCACUGGGACUGAGACACGGCCCAGACUCCUACGGGAGGCAGCAGUGGGGAAUAUUGGACAAUGGGCGCAAGCCUGAUCCAGCCAUGCCGCGUGGGUGAUGAAGGCCCUAGGG
This 319-nucleotide ribosomal RNA is filed under the name uncultured bacterium. RNAcentral's name for it is "bacterial SSU rRNA". It matches the Rfam family "Bacterial small subunit ribosomal RNA", at positions 86 to 422 of the family's 1533-position model. The record is from RNAcentral.